GGCGGAUGGCGUGGGAUAUAGCACACGAAAAUUUGGGACUCGCGCGGAUUCCCAAUUCUAUGUCGGUAAUCUCCCAAAAAAUGUAAUUUGGUCAUGGCGGGGCGGUGACUAUGAUUCCAUUGGCUGUAUUCGACGUCCAAAAAAAAUAUUAGACGAUCCAGGUCCGGGACCCGGAGCCACGACAGAAGGCGUGGGCUAU
Molecule: long non-coding RNA, 199 nt
Filed under: Nicotiana benthamiana
Lineage: Eukaryota; Viridiplantae; Streptophyta; Magnoliopsida; Solanales; Solanaceae
Description: long non-coding RNA (NBEN_LNC000152)
Source: RNAcentral